GACGAACCGUGCGAACGUUAUUCGGAAUCACUGGGCUUAAAGCGCGUGUAGGCGGGACGGCACGUCGGUAGCUGAAAUCCCCCGGCUCAACCGGGGAACGGGCGCCGAUACGACCGCCCUGGAGGGACGUAGGGGGACCUGGAACUUCCGGUGGAGCGGUGAAAUGCGUUGAGAUCGGAAGGAACGCCCGUGGCGAAAGCGAGGUCCUGGACGUUUUCUGACGCUGAGACGCGAAAGCCAGGGGAGCGAACGGGAUUAGAUACCCCGGUAGUCCUGGCCGUAAACGAUGGGCACUGGGUAGGGGGCUCGCCGAUGGGCUCCCUGCCGUAGGGAAACCGUGAAGUGCCCCGCCUGGGGAGUAUGGUCGCAAGGCUGAAACUCAAAG
This 385-nucleotide ribosomal RNA is filed under the name uncultured bacterium. Its description in RNAcentral is "bacterial SSU rRNA". It matches the Rfam family "Bacterial small subunit ribosomal RNA", at positions 524 to 906 of the family's 1533-position model. The record is from RNAcentral.